RNAcentral lists this ribosomal RNA (492 nucleotides) under uncultured bacterium. Its description in RNAcentral is "partial 16S ribosomal RNA". It matches the Rfam family "Bacterial small subunit ribosomal RNA", at positions 29 to 507 of the family's 1533-position model. The record is from RNAcentral.
AGUGAACGCUGGCGGUAGGCCUAACACAUGCAAGUCGAACGGCAGCACAGUAAGAGCUUGCUCUUACGGGUGGCGAGUGGCGGACGGGUGAGGAAUACAUCGGAAUCUACUUUUUCGUGGGGGAUAACGUAGGGAAACUUACGCUAAUACCGCAUACGACCUACGGGUGAAAGCAGGGGAUCUUCGGACCUUGCGCGAUUGAAUGAGCCGAUGUCGGAUUAGCUAGUUGGCGGGGUAAAGGCCCACCAAGGCGACGAUCCGUAGCUGGUGUGAGAGGAUGAUCAGCCACACUGGAAGUGAGACACGGUCCAGACGCCUACGGGAGGGAGCAGGGGGGAAUAUUGGACAAUGGGCGCAAGCCUGAUCCAGCCAUACCGCGUGGGUGAAGAAGGCCUUCGGGUUGUAAAGCCCUUUUGUUGGGAAAGAAAAGCAGCAGGUUAAUACCCCGCUGUUCUGACGGUACCCAAAGAAUAAGCACCGGCUAACUUCGUG